Molecule: unclassified non-coding RNA, 2047 nt
Filed under: Caenorhabditis elegans
Lineage: Eukaryota; Metazoa; Nematoda; Chromadorea; Rhabditida; Rhabditidae
Description: Non-coding transcript of protein-coding gene oac-50
Source: RNAcentral
AUGUGUUUGAUAUUCUGUCGAUUCGUUAUAAUUUUUUGGAUCCUAUUGCAAAUUGAGGGGGUUGUUGUUAAUGAUUCAAGAAUCCAGAGUUGGAUGCAUUCGCGAGAUAUCCGGCACCGGGAUCCCCAAAUAUUUAUGAUGGAUCUUUCCGGAAGUGUAACGAUUUGAAUGAGAAAGGAGGACAUCGGAGGAAAUAUUGUUAUUUAAUUCAGGCAGAUGAAAAAAUGAAUUGUCGAGAGGAAUAUCAUUCGAUUCUUUUUAAGCCCAACAGGACUGCUUUUGGGUUUUGUGGUCCUGAAAUCUGUCAUGGGAAAGACUACGCUUCAAUGUUUGGAAGCAUGGAAAAAACAUUUCAUUUUUUGAUGGAUAGGCCCGUCUGUGCUGCAUUUUGCACAGUUCGAGAUAUUCCAAAAAAACUUCAAUUUUAUUUUUUCACAGCUUUCUUGAUAAUGCUCGGCAGUGUUGUUUUCUUCUCGUCGCUGUAUGAUUAUGUUAGAGACACUAGAUAUCGCCUGAGCUCCGAGUCUGAAAAAGUUUUCGGUCAACGAAUAAUAUUAUCAUUUUCUCUAUGGUCCAACAUCGAAUUCAUAUUUCAAGAUAAACGGCCCGAUUACAUUAGAAGUCUUGAUUGCAUUCGAGCUAUCACUUUUACAUGGGUUGUCGGUCAGAAUGUUGUUGGUCAUUUGGGAUUUUAUGAUGAUAAAAUUCGUGUAGAUCCAUCCAAAAUUUCCUUGGCAAGUUCAGCUAUGUCUAGCCUUCUUCCGAUAUACACGUACCUUUUUAUGUCAGGACUCACAGUAUCAUAUACAUUCUUAAAAGGAAAACCAUCACUUGAUGUGCUGAAACAACCUUUUACAUGGCUGAUUUUCUUUUUCCACAGGUGGAUCAGAUUGACAUCUGCACUCAUGGUUUUUAUUGGUUUUUUCGAUGCCUACGGAAAGUACAUUCAAGGCCCUUAUGAUGCACUCACCGGAUAUUCCAUGGUUACUCAAACAGAUCUAUGCACAUACUGGAUGGAUAUAAUUCAUAUCAGUAAUUUUGUAGCUGUCGAUGAAAUGUGUUAUCUGCCUGCUUGGCAUUUGGCAGUGGAUUUUCAGUUUACAAUAUUUGCUCCAUUUUUUCUGUUGGCAUUCCAUUACUCAACAGUUUUAGGAACAAUUCUUGCAAUCAUUGCAUCACUUAUCGGCUCGGGACUGACUGUAUUUUUCUUUUUACAGAAUACAAUUCUGAAUUCAGCAUUUACCGGGGACCACGUACAUGACGACAAGCUGGUUGAAAUCAUUCUUUCAAAACCGUGGAAUCAGAUGGCUCCUUACAUGAUGGGAAUGAUAGCUGGAUGCAUUUUGGGGAAACAUUCUGGAAGUAAAAGAAUUAUACAUCCAGUAGCAUCUUCUAUCAUUUGGAUUAUAAUCACAGUUCUUGGAUUGGUAGCUCUAAUUUUCGGACACUUUGGCACAAGUCAGCUGGAAAAAGCUCUCACCAACGUUUCUACUCGAGCAGUUUGGUCAAUAUGUCUUAUGUGGAUUAUAAUUUCCACUGAAUUGAAAUCGGCCGGUCCCAUCGGACACUAUCUCGAGCAUCCGUUUUGGCGUCCCUUCGGAAAAUUAUCUUUCUGUGCAUUUAUUGUUCAUCAUAUGCUGCUAUAUUUUUUAUUCAAUAUACAAGAAGAAGCGCCUAAGUACACGAGUUUCUGGCACGAAUAUUUCCACUACACCAUUCCGAUCGUCAUCUAUUCAUAUUUCCUGGCUUUUUUCUUGAGCGUCGUCGUUGAAAUCCCAAUUUUAAGAAUCGACAGACUAAUUAUAGACCAGUUUGUUCCAGUAUCAAAAAUUGAGAAGAAGACAGAUGUAGAAGAAGACGAUAGUUUCAAGGAUACCAGCAAUAGAAGCGACAAUACUGAUGGAAGUAGCAAGAAAAUUAAAAAGAGCCCAGAAAAUCAAGAAACUGAUUACCAAUCAAGAAACGCCUAUUCACCUAAUGAGCCUCUUCUGGAAAAUGAUCUUUACUAAAUAAUGUAUUUUUUAUUUAUUGCCCGAAAUAAACAUAU